RNAcentral lists this signal recognition particle RNA (98 nucleotides) under Rippkaea orientalis PCC 8801. RNAcentral's name for it is "SRP RNA; RNA component of signal recognitionparticle". It matches the Rfam family "Bacterial small signal recognition particle RNA". Rfam says of the family: The signal recognition particle (SRP) is a universally conserved ribonucleoprotein involved in the co-translational targeting of proteins to membranes. Archaeal SRP consists of a 7S RNA and homologues of the eukaryotic SRP19 and SRP54 proteins. In most bacteria, the SRP consists of a 4.5S RNA and the Ffh protein (a homologue of the eukaryotic SRP54 protein). RNAcentral also lists the same sequence under 1 other name. The record is from RNAcentral. Lineage: Bacteria; Bacillati; Cyanobacteriota; Cyanophyceae; Chroococcales; Aphanothecaceae.
GGCUCGGACCUAUGCGAUUACAACGCCCAAAUCUUGUCAGGACUGGAAGGUAGCAGCAAUACGGGAUGCUUGUGAUAGGCUUAGACUCCGGGCCUUUA